This 305-nucleotide ribosomal RNA is filed under the name uncultured bacterium. Its description in RNAcentral is "bacterial SSU rRNA". It matches the Rfam family "Bacterial small subunit ribosomal RNA", at positions 335 to 657 of the family's 1533-position model. The record is from RNAcentral.
GCUCCUACGGGGCGCAGCAGUGGGGGAUAUUGCACAAUGGGGGCAACCCUGAUGCAGCGACGCCGCGUGAGCGAUGGAGUACUUCGGUAUGUAAAGCUCUGUCAGCAGGGAAGAGAAUGACGGUACCUGACCAAGAAGCCCCGGCUAAAUACGUGCCAGCAGCCGCGGUAAUACGUAGGGGGCAAGCGUUAUCCGGAAUUACUGGGUGUAAAGGGAGCGUAGACGGUGAUGCAAGUCUGGAGUGAAAGGCGGGGGCCCAACCCCCGGACUGCUCUGGAAACUGUGUAACUUGAGUGCAGGAGAGG